UUACGGGAGGCAGCAGUGGGGAAUAUUGGACAAUGGGGGCAACCCUGAUCCAGCCAUGCCGCGUGAAUGAUGAAGGCCUUCGGGUUGUAAAGUUCUUUUGGCGGGGACGAUGAUGACGGUACCCGCAGAAUAAGCUCCGGCUAACUUCGUGCCAGCAGCCGCGGUAAUACGAAGGGAGCUAGCGUUGUUCGGAAUUACUGGGCGUAAAGGGCGCGUAGGCGGUUUGGCAAGUUGGAUGUGAAAGCCCAGGGCUCAACCCUGGAAUUGCAUUCAAGACUGCCUUGCUUGAAUUCGGUAGAGGUUGGUGGAAUUCCCAGUGUAGAGGUGAAAUUCGUAGAGAUUGGGAAGAACACCCGUGGCGAAGGCGGCCAACUGGACCGACAUUGACGCUGAGGCGCGAAAGCGUGGGGAUCAAACAGGAUUAGAUACCCUGGU
RNAcentral lists this ribosomal RNA (435 nucleotides) under uncultured bacterium. RNAcentral describes it as "bacterial SSU rRNA". It matches the Rfam family "Bacterial small subunit ribosomal RNA", at positions 339 to 791 of the family's 1533-position model. The record is from RNAcentral.